GUGGGGAAUAUUGGACAAUGGGCGAAAGCCUGAUCCAGCCAUGCCGCGUGUGUGAAGAAGGUCUUCGGAUUGUAAAGCACUUUAAGUUGGGAGGAAGGGCAGUAAGUUAAUACCUUGCUGUUUUGACGUUACCAACAGAAUAAGCACCGGCUAACUUCGUGCCAGCAGCCUCGGUAAUACGAAGGGUGCAAGCGUUAAUCGGAAUUACUGGGCGUAAAGCGCGCGUAGGUGGUUUUGUAAGUUGGAGGUGAAAUCCCCGGGCUCAACCUGGGAACUGCCUCCAAAACUGCAUGACUAGAGUACGGUAGAGGGUAGUGGAAUUUCCUGUGUAGCGGUGAAAUGCGUAGAUAUAGGAAGGAACACCAGUGGCGAAGGCGACUACCUGGACUGAUACUGACACUGAGGUGCGAAAGCGUGGGGAGCAAACAGGAUUAGAUACCCCGGUAGUCC
This 450-nucleotide ribosomal RNA is filed under the name uncultured bacterium. RNAcentral describes it as "partial 16S ribosomal RNA". It matches the Rfam family "Bacterial small subunit ribosomal RNA", at positions 354 to 796 of the family's 1533-position model. The record is from RNAcentral.